AGUGGCAGGGUGUGACAUUUGCA
Molecule: microRNA, 23 nt
Filed under: Capitella teleta
Lineage: Eukaryota; Metazoa; Annelida; Polychaeta; Capitellidae
Description: Cte-Mir-277-P2_5p* (star (passenger))
Source: RNAcentral